Molecule: ribosomal RNA, 520 nt
Filed under: Escherichia coli
Lineage: Bacteria; Pseudomonadati; Pseudomonadota; Gammaproteobacteria; Enterobacterales; Enterobacteriaceae
Description: partial 23S ribosomal RNA
Rfam family: Bacterial large subunit ribosomal RNA
Source: RNAcentral
CUAUGUGUUGUUGGGUAGGGGAGCGUUCUGUAAGCCUGUGAAGGUGUGCUGUGAGGUAUGCUGGAGGUAUCAGAAGUGCGAAUGCUGACAUAAGUAACGAUAAAGCGGGUGAAAAGCCCGCUCGCCGGAAGACCAAGGGUUCCUGUCCAACGUUAAUCGGGGCAGGGUGAGUCGACCCCUAAGGCGAGGCCGAAAGGCGUAGUCGAUGGGAAACAGGUUAAUAUUCCUGUACUUGGUGUUACUGCGAAGGGGGGACGGAGAAGGCUAUGUUGGCCGGGCGACGGUUGUCCCGGUUUAAGCGUGUAGGCUGGUUUUCCAGGCAAAUCCGGAAAAUCAAGGCUGAGGCGUGAUGACGAGGCACUACGGUGCUGAAGCAACAAAUGCCCUGCUUCCAGGAAAAGCCUCUAAGCAUCAGGUAACAUCAAAUCGUACCCCAAACCGACACAGGUGGUCAGGUAGAGAAUACCAAGGCGCUUGAGAGAACUCGGGUGAAGGAACUAGGCAAAAUGGUGCCGUAACU